UCGUGGAUACCCUGGUGCUGGUGUUGAUGUGGUUCGUUUGCUACAAUGGGUUUCGACAUGCUACCGAAUUCUCCAAAAGGAAUUUUUGGUGAUUCAACAAAGCAAGCUGCCAUGAUGUCUAUCUUAAUCUUGAUGGAUUGGAUACUUUGUAUAGAAUCUGUGGCAUGGCAUCUUGGUUUAGAGUUGGAGGUGGCGGAUCUUGAUUCUUGAGAGUAAAAAUUGUGGCAAAAAAUUGGCCUUAAGAAUUGUUUAUUUUAUGGUCACAAAAAUGGUUCAAUUUGUUUUAUUAUGCUUUUAAGAAUGGACGACCCAAUAAACAUAUAUCAUCAAUAUCAUUAACAAGUAUUGCGUAUUGCUUCGUGCCAGAAAUAAUGAUCCGCUAAUUGUUUAUCCGCUA
Molecule: long non-coding RNA, 397 nt
Organism: Diospyros lotus (date-plum)
Lineage: Eukaryota; Viridiplantae; Streptophyta; Magnoliopsida; Ericales; Ebenaceae
Exons: 2
Source: RefSeq, a predicted model, not a curated record